CCCUUAGGUGUUCUGGGCGGCCCGCGCACUACAAUGGCGCUUUCAGCGAGUUCCUAUGUUGAAUUUUCCUGGGUAUUCUUGGAAGCGGCGUCUUGACUUGGGAUAGAUCCUUGUAAUUGUUGGUUUUGAACGAGGAAUUCCUUGUAAUCGCGGUUGAUCAGCUCGCGUUGAAUACGUCCCUGCCCUUUGUACACACCGCCCGUCGCUCCUACCGAUGAAUCGUCCGGUGAAGUUCACAGAGUGGCGGUUCGUGGAGUUGCUCGCGAAGUGAAAUGGACCUCACGAUUUAGAGGAAGGAGAAGUCGUAACA
RNAcentral lists this ribosomal RNA (310 nucleotides) under uncultured eukaryote. Its description in RNAcentral is "partial 18S ribosomal RNA". It matches the Rfam family "Eukaryotic small subunit ribosomal RNA", at positions 1470 to 1796 of the family's 1831-position model. The record is from RNAcentral.